This 468-nucleotide ribosomal RNA is filed under the name uncultured bacterium. RNAcentral's name for it is "partial 16S ribosomal RNA". It matches the Rfam family "Bacterial small subunit ribosomal RNA", at positions 28 to 507 of the family's 1533-position model. The record is from RNAcentral.
GACGAACGCUGGCGGCGUGCUUAACACAUGCAAGUCGAACGGAAAGGCCCUGCUUUUGUGGGGUGCUCGAGUGGCGAACGGGUGAGUAACACGUGAGUAACCUGCCCUUGACUUUGGGAUAACUUCAGGAAACUGGGGCUAAUACCGGAUAGGAGCUCCUGCUGCAUGGUGGGGGUUGGAAAGUUUCGGCGGUGGGGGAUGGACUCGCGGCUUAUCAGCUUGUUGGUGGGGUAGUGGCUUACCAAGGCUUUGACGGGUAGCCGGCCUGAGAGGGUGACCGGCCACAUUGGGACUGAGAUACGGCCCAGACUCAUACGGGAGGCAGCAGUGGGGAAUAUUGCACAAUGGGCGGAAGCCUGAUGCAGCAACGCCGCGUGCGGGAUGACGGCCUUCGGGUUGUAAACCGCUUUCGCCUGUGACGAAGCGUGAGUGACGGUAAUGGGUAAAGAAGCACCGGCUAACUACGUG